AAUGAACGCUGGCGGCAGGCCUAACACAUGCAAGUCGAGCGGACGAAGGAAGCUUGCGCCUGGAUUCAGCGGCGGACGGGUGAGUAAUGCCCAGGAAGCUGCCUGGUAGUGGGGGAUAACGUACGGAAAGGGGAGCUAAUAUAGUAUAGGACCUGAGGGAGAAAGGGGGGGAUCAAUGGAGCACACGGGAUUAGAUGAGCCUAGGUCGCAUUAGCUAGUUGGUGGGGUAAAGGCCUACCAAGGCGACGAUCCGUAACUGGUCUGAGAGGAUGAUCAGUCACACUGGAACUGAGACACGGUCCAGACUCCUACGGGAGGCAGCAGUGGGGAAUCUUCGGCAAUGGGCGAAAGCCUGAUCCAGCCAUGCCGCGUGUGUGAUGAAGGUCUUCGGAUUGUAAAGCUCUUUUAGUUGGGAGGAACAGCAGUAAGUUAAUACCUUGCUGUUUUGACGUUACCAACAGAAUAAGCACCGGCUAACUUCGUG
This 484-nucleotide ribosomal RNA is filed under the name uncultured bacterium. RNAcentral's name for it is "partial 16S ribosomal RNA". It matches the Rfam family "Bacterial small subunit ribosomal RNA", at positions 29 to 507 of the family's 1533-position model. The record is from RNAcentral.